Molecule: ribosomal RNA, 652 nt
Filed under: Mycolicibacterium vaccae
Lineage: Bacteria; Bacillati; Actinomycetota; Actinomycetes; Mycobacteriales; Mycobacteriaceae
Description: bacterial SSU rRNA
Rfam family: Bacterial small subunit ribosomal RNA
Source: RNAcentral
GAUAAGCCUGGGAAACUGGGUCUAAUACCGAAUACACCCUUCUGGCUGCAUGGUCUGGGAGGGGAAAGCUUUUGCGGUGUGGGAUGGGCCCGCGGCCUAUCAGCUUGUUGGUGAGGUUACGGCUCACCAAGGCGACGACGGGUAGCCGGCCUGAGAGGGUGACCGGCCACACUGGGACUGAGAUACGGCCCAGACUCCUACGGGAGGCAGCAGUGGGGAAUAUUGCACAAUGGGCGCAAGCCUGAUGCAGCGACGCCGCGUGAGGGAUGACGGCCUUCGGGUUGUAAACCUCUUUCGCCAGGGACGAAGCGCAAGUGACGGUACCUGGAGAAGAAGGACCGGCCAACUACGUGCCAGCAGCCGCGGUAAUACGUAGGGUCCGAGCGUUGUCCGGAAUUACUGGGCGUAAAGAGCUCGUAGGUGGUUUGUCGCGUUGUCCGUGAAAACUCACAGCUCAACUGUGGGCGUGCGGGCGAUACGGGCAGACUAGAGUACUGCAGGGGAGACUGGAAUUCCUGGUGUAGCGGUGGAAUGCGCAGAUAUCAGGAGGAACACCGGUGGCGAAGGCGGGUCUCUGGGCAGUAACUGACGCUGAGGAGCGAAAGCGUGGGGAGCGAACAGGAUUAGAUACCCUGGUAGUCCACGCCGUAAA